This 1812-nucleotide ribosomal RNA is filed under the name Triticum aestivum (bread wheat). RNAcentral's name for it is "partial small subunit ribosomal RNA". The record is from RNAcentral. Lineage: Eukaryota; Viridiplantae; Streptophyta; Magnoliopsida; Poales; Poaceae.
AUGUCGUCCUCGCCUCUAACCGCCACGCCCACCCCUCUCCUUCCCGCCAAAUCCAAGAGCCCGCCGUCGCACCACCCGCUCCUCCCCCACCUCCCGCACUGCACGAGCCUCCGGGCGCUCGCCCAGCUCCACGCCGCCGCCGUCAAGUCCGGCCUCGGCGCGCACCCGGCCCUCGUCACCAGGCUCCUCACGCUCUGCACCGAGCAGGGCGCGGCCCCGGCGCACCUCGAGUACGCACGCCAGGUGUUCGACAGAAUCCCCAGCCCCGGGGACGUCGUCUGGUACAACACGCUGCUGCGUGGGUACGCGCGCUCGGCCGACGGCGCCGCCGAGGAGGCGGCGCGGGUGUUCGUGCGGAUGCUGGAGGAGGGCGUGGCGCCGGACACGUACACGUUCGUGUCGCUGCUCAAGGCGUGCGCGGCCGCGCGGGCCGGGGAGGAGGGCCGGCAGGCGCACGGCGUGGCCGUCAAGACCGGCGCCGCGGACCACGAGUACGUCCUGCCCACGCUGAUCAACAUGUACGCCGAGUGCGGGGACGCGCGGUCCGCCCACGUGAUGUUCGGCAGGGUGCCGGACGGGGACUGUGUGGUCUCGUACAACGCGAUGAUCACCGCCGCCGUCAGGAGCAGCCGGCCCGGGGAGGCGCUGGUGCUGUUCCGGGAGAUGCAGGCCAAGGGGCUCAAGCCGACGUCCAUCACGGUGACCAGUGUGCUCUCGGCGUGCGCGCUGCUGGGAGCACUGGAGCUGGGGAGGUGGAUCCACGAGUAUGUCAGGAAGGCAGGGCUUGACUCUCUUGUGAAGGUCAACACUGCGCUGAUCGACAUGUAUGGGAAGUGCGGGAGCUUGGAGGAUGCCAUUGAUGUGUUCCAGGGGAUGGAAUCAAGGGAUAGGCAAGCUUGGUCCGUGAUGAUCGUGGCGUAUGCUAACCACAGCUACGGCAGGGAGGCCAUUUCACUGUUCGAAGAGAUGAAGAAGCAAGGGAUAAAGCCUGAUGCGGUCACAUUCCUAGGCGUGCUCUAUGCCUGUAGCCAUUCUGGCAUGGUGAGCGAAGGGCUACAAUACUUCGACAGCAUGAGAGAGUAUGGUAUAGUUCCUGGGAUAAAGCACUAUGGUUGCGUGACUGAUUUGCUAGCCCGAUCAGGUCAGCUUGAAAAGGCUUACCAGUUCAUUGAUGAACUGCCGAUAAAGCCCACCGCCAUCUUAUGGAGGACGUUGCUUUCUGCCUGUGGAAGCCAUGGAGCUGUUGAUCUUGGAAAACGUGUCUUUGAGAGGAUUCUCGAGCUGGAUGAUACUCAUGGUGGUGACUAUGUAAUAUUCUCGAAUUUGUGCGCCAACACUGGGGAAUGGGAAGAGAUGAACAGGGUAAGGAAGCUGAUGAAUGAAAAGGGGGCGGUAAAGGUGCCUGGCUGUAGCUCAAUUGAGAUAGAUAACAGGGUUCAUGAGUUCUUCGCAGGAGAUGGAAGACACCCACAAUCACAAGAUGCAUGCCGAAUGGUUGAUGAAGUGAUUGAGCAGCUCAAACUUGUUGGUUAUGUCCCUAAUACGUCUCAGGUCUUCCAUGUUCAAAUGGGUGAGGAGGAGAAGGCCACAAGCCUAAGAUACCAUAGUGAGAAGCUGGCGAUUUCUUUCGGGCUUUUAAACACAUCUCCAGGAACUACUCUCCGUGUUGUCAAGAACCUUCGUGUAUGUCCAGAUUGUCAUUCGAUGGCAAAGCUUGUCUCUAUGCUCUUUAAUAGGCGGAUCAUACUCAGAGAUCUAAAUCGUUUCCACCACUUUGAGGAUGGGGUCUGCUCUUGUGGAGACUACUGGUAG